Molecule: ribosomal RNA, 468 nt
Filed under: uncultured bacterium
Lineage: Bacteria
Description: partial 16S ribosomal RNA
Rfam family: Bacterial small subunit ribosomal RNA
Source: RNAcentral
GAUGAACGCUGGCGGCGUGCUUAAUACAUGCAAGUCGAACGGAAAGGCCCUGCUUUUGUGGGGUGCUCGAGUGGCGAACGGGUGAGUAACACGUGAGUAACAUGCCCUUGACUUUGGGAUAACAUCAGGAAACUGGGGCUAAUACCGCAUAGGAGCUCCUGAUGCAUGGUGGGGGUUGGAAAGUUUCGGCGGUUGGGGCUGGACUAGCGGGUUAUCAGCUUGUUGGUCGGGUAGUGGAUGACCAAGGCUUUGAAGGGUAGCCGGCCUGAGAGGGUGACCGGCCACAUUGGUACUGAGAGACGCACCAGUCUCCUACGGGAGGCAGAAGUGGGGAAUAUUGCACAAGGAGCGGAAGCCUGAUGCAGCAACGCCGCGUGCGGGAUGACGGCCUUCGUGGUGUAAACCGCUUUCGCCUGUGACGAAGCGGUAGUGACGGUAAUGGGUAAAGAAGCACCGGCUAACUACGUG